UAGGGAAUCUUCCGCAAUGGGCGAAAGCCUGACGGAGCAACGCCGCGUGAGUGAUGAAGGUCUUCGGAUCGUAAAACUCUGUUAUUAGGGAAGAACAAAUGUGUAAGUAACUAUGCACGUCUUGACGGUACCUAAUCAGAAAGCCACGGCUAACUACGUGCCAGCAGCCGCGGUAAUACGCAGGUGGCAAGCGUUAUCCGGAAUUAUUGGGCGUAAAGCGCGCGUAGGCGGUUUUUUAAGUCUGAUGUGAAAGCCCACGGCUCAACCGUGGAGGGUCAUUGGAAACUGGAAAACUUGAGUGCAGAAGAGGAAAGUGGAAUUCCAUGUGUAGCGGUGAAAUGCGCAGAGAUAUGGAGGAACACCAGUGGCGAAGGCGACUUUCUGGUCUGUAACUGACGCUGAUGUGCGAAAGCGUGGGGAUCAAACAGG
Molecule: ribosomal RNA, 429 nt
Filed under: Actinomycetes bacterium
Lineage: Bacteria; Bacillati; Actinomycetota; Actinomycetes
Description: Actinobacteria bacterium partial 16S ribosomal RNA
Rfam family: Bacterial small subunit ribosomal RNA
Source: RNAcentral